Molecule: long non-coding RNA, 1622 nt
Organism: Rattus norvegicus (Norway rat)
Lineage: Eukaryota; Metazoa; Chordata; Mammalia; Rodentia; Muridae
Source: RefSeq, a predicted model, not a curated record
CAGCCACCCACAGUCUUUCCCAGGGCGAGCCACCCACACCUCAGUGUUUCACAGGCUCCCGCCAAGUCUGCUCAGCUGCCUUGGAGGCCCUCGGCUCUCCUUCAACAGCCACCUUGGCUUUUUGCCCGUUGGCGGCCAGGCUGCCACUCCGCAGCUGCCCUGAGAAGCUGCUAACCACAUGGCUUCAGUGGUGCCACCUUCGAGUUAUUUUUGCACCAGACUUCCGGCCGCCAUCACGGAUCAAGCUCUGCCUUCCUCCCUCCACAGAGCACUGACUGAGCCAGGGUUGAUGGUGGAGCAAGUCACAAGAGCAUCAUGAAUAGGACUUAAAAGGAGCAAUAAUCUACAUACUAUUUCUGGUACACACAGGAGAUCUCAGCUCCAACUCUAUGUAAGGGGCAAGCAUCCAUCAUGAUGUACCUCCUGCCUACUUCUGAUGAAGCACAUGCUGUGCAGUUGGGGCAACCAAGUUGGCUUAAAGAAGCAAGAACAUGUGGCCUAUUAUCUUACAUGACCAACAUCCCCCAGCACUCCAGGCACAUAGAAGGAGAAAGAAAUGUGAAAAUUUUCUCACUUUUCAUAUGCCUUAAAUCAUUUUCUCUUCAUACUUUUAUAACUUACUUAAGCUUUUAUAUCCCCAGAUAUGAAAUUACUUUCUUUGACUCUCAUAACUUUCAUAAACUGUAAACCAUUUUUUCCUCUUUAACCAUUUCUCAUAAUACAGUUGUUGAUUGCUGAGAGCAGUCCUUUAUUGUGGGGAUACUCUUCUUGUGCAUUGUGUAAAGGUUUCUUUGUAUUAUUCAAAUGUUGAUUUCUGUACCAGCAGAUUGCUGAGUACAGUCUGAACAUUGCUAUCAUUUUCAUGAAGCAUCACUUGUCUCAGUGUUUGCUUUAAUAAGGAGCUGACAGCCUAUGGCAGGGCAGGAGAGGAAAGGGGAACACCUGGGUAGAGAGAGAAACUCUGGGACAGAAUAGUGUGUGUGUGUGUGUGUGUGUGUUGUGUGUGUGUGCAUGUGUGUGUCUGUAUGUCUGUGUGUGUAUUUGUGUCUCUCUGUGUGUGGGGGUCUGUGUGUAUAUGUGUCUAUGUGUGUCUGUGUGUGUGUGUGUGUUUGUGUCUGUGUGUGUCUGUCUGUGUGUGGGAGGGUGGGUCUGUGUUUGUAUGCCUGUUUGUGUGUGUGUGUGUGUGUGUGUGUGUGUGUGUGUGUGUGUGUGUGUGUGUGUAGUAUUCACUAGCCAGACAAGGAAGAAGAAACAGGUGCCAAGACUGAAGGAGAGAUAACAGGACACGUGGCAGAAUGUGGAUUAGAAUAAAUGGGUCGAUUCAGUUAUGUGAGCUAGUUGGGAAUGAACCUAAACUAUAAGGUCUAACCUUAAUAAAUAAUAGUAAGUCUCUGUGUCGUUAUUGGAGGCUGGUGGGUUGAGGCUGCCAGGUUGAGACAGUCUGGAAAUAAUUUAUUAUUUCUUUAAAUAAAGGAAUAAUAAAAAGUUACAUCAGAAACCUGUUUAUCUUUUUGUGAAGCCUGUUAGCAAGGUAAACCUGUCUACCUUUUCUGAACAAGAGAUCUUGUUUUUGUGAUGUCCUCACUCCCUUGCUUGUGCUUCUGAAUAAAUGACCUAUAGAC